Molecule: small nucleolar RNA, 111 nt
Rfam family: Small nucleolar RNA Z13/snr52
About the family: Z13 or snr52 is a member of the C/D class of snoRNA which contain the C (UGAUGA) and D (CUGA) box motifs. Most of the members of the box C/D family function in directing site-specific 2'-O-methylation of substrate RNAs.
UUUUUCCUUGUGAUGAAACCAUUUCGGAUGUAAAGUAGUCUAACGACUCGAAAUCCGAGAGCGCAAAAACCCCAUGUGGAUUUUUCCGUUGCCUUCCUUCUGAUUCCUAAU